This is a long non-coding RNA of Pseudophryne corroboree (corroboree frog), 1199 nucleotides long. RefSeq lists it as uncharacterized. The record is from RefSeq and is a predicted model, not a curated record. The transcript is spliced from 3 exons. Lineage: Eukaryota; Metazoa; Chordata; Amphibia; Anura; Myobatrachidae.
GAAAUGUUAAUUCUUACAAUAUUAACACAUGCUGCUCACUGAUUGUGGUAUAUCCCCAACAGCGUCUUCAAUAAGACAAGCUGAUGAACCGAAUGUAAAUAGAUUAUCGACUUCACAUACUACACAUGAAAUCAUCAGACGAUGAAAGCUCCUUAUACUCUACUUCAACAUAUGAAGAACAGCGUCUCCAGUAAGACAAGCUGAUGAACCGAAUGUAAAUAAAUCAUCGACUUCACAGGCUACACAUGAUAAUCAUCAGACGAUGAAAGCUCAAUAUACUCUACUUCAGCAUACGAAGAACAGGAAGUUUGCUGCCCUACAACACUCGGCCACCGGAGGAGCAGGGCUGUUAGUAGGAAUUCUGUACAUCACAGGUUUCAUGUAGUGUGUCCCACGUGCACUGCACUUCCAGUUUAUACACACUUUAUUUACAUUUUUACUGAAUCGUGGGACUUGUCUGUCUUUGUCUACUUGUUUGUGUACAAAAUGAGUAAGGCUAAUGCAAAAUCAAAAAAGCAGCUUAGCUGCAAUGUCUGUGAGAGUGUGUUACCUGAUGGAACUACCACAUGCACAGUAUGUCUUGCAAAUACGGUUCCAAAUACAAACCCUUACCCUGAUCCUCCAUGGGCAAUUCUGGCGGAUGUAAUGACUGGUUUACAAUCGGAGUUGGACGCUGCACGAAAGGAGCGUGAGGCUGCUAGAUCUGAGGCUAGGGUAAUACAUCCUGAGAUUCCAGUAGGGGCUCAGGAGAUGUCUAGGACUUUGCAAGGGUUACAAAAGUCCAAGUCUAGCUCAAUUCUGAAAAAUAGUUAUCAUUUGUCUUAAAACUUACCAGUUUCAGCUGUGUUGCAUUCUGACGAUUAAAUGCCAGACCUCAUAUCGCAAGAAGAACAUGAGGAGGGUGAGUUGGGCCAGGAGUCAGAUAGUGAGGUUACUGAUAGCCCGGUCACUGAUAAUCUCAUCAGGGCAGUACGUCAGGUUCUAGAUUUUACAGAGACUGAAGAACCUAUUUCAAAUGAUGAAGUGUUAUUUGCUAAACAACAGAACACCGGUAUGUUUUCCUUAUUCAGAUUCUCUUAAGCAGUUAACAGAGGCAUGGAAGAAUCCGGAUAAACGGUUUUCUAUACCUCGCCGGUUUCUGUCUAGUUACCCGUUCCCAGAGUGGGGGCGGGUGAGGGAUAUGGAGACACACACAUAGU